GAAACAGAGAAAGGGAGAGAGAGAGAAAGAGAGAGAUAAGAAUCUGUCUCUGAUUGGUGCAGGUGGGACACGUGGCCAGGCUCAUUAGCAUAUGGACCAGCAGGUGAGCGUGGGAGAGAAUAGUUUCAGCUAUGCCGCGAACACACCGACCUGACCGGAUCAAGAGUUUUGUCGGUUCGCCAGAGCAUCUCGCUUUGAACCCAGAGUCACCACAGGGCGGCACGUCGUCGGUCAUCUCACCUGGACGCUCAAUAACCGGCAGAUGCCCCACUGUUGUUUCUAUCUAACUGAUGCUGUGUUGGCCCAGAUGUGAGAACACAGGCCUCGCAGACCUGAUCGAUACUUUCUGUUCCUCUGGGAGCUUGGCUCUGCUGCUGCUGAUGUGUGUCAUCAGGAAGAAAAGGAGGACGGAGGGAACAUACAGGCCCAGUGCAGAGGAGAGGAAACAGACGGCGUCGGCGGGAUCUGAAAAACCUGGCCUGCCUCUCCCGUUGCCCA
Long non-coding RNA from Sebastes umbrosus (honeycomb rockfish), 498 nucleotides. RefSeq lists it as uncharacterized. The record is from RefSeq and is a predicted model, not a curated record. Lineage: Eukaryota; Metazoa; Chordata; Actinopteri; Perciformes; Sebastidae. The transcript is spliced from 4 exons.